CCUACGGGUGGCAGCAGUGGGGAAUAUUGGACAAUGGGGGCAACCCUGAUCCAGCCAUGCCGCGUGUGUGAAGAAGGCCCUCGGGUUGUAAAGCACUUUCAGUGAGGAAGAACGCCUGGUGGUUAAUACCCAUCAGGAAAGACAUCACUCACAGAAGAAGCACCGGCUAACUCCGUGCCAGCAGCCGCGGUAAUACGGAGGGUGCGAGCGUUAAUCGGAAUUACUGGGCGUAAAGCGCGCGUAGGUGGCUUGAUAAGCCGGUUGUGAAAGCCCCGGGCUCAACCUGGGAACGGCAUCCGGAACUGUCAAGCUAGAGUGCAGGAGAGGAAGGUAGAAUUCCUGGUGUAGCGGUGAAAUGCGUAGAGAUCGGGAGGAAUACCAGUGGCGAAGGCGGCCUUCUGGACUGACACUGACACUGAGGUGCGAAAGCGUGGGUAGCAAACAGGAUUAGAUACCCUAGUAGUC
RNAcentral lists this ribosomal RNA (465 nucleotides) under Vreelandella stevensii. RNAcentral describes it as "partial 16S ribosomal RNA". It matches the Rfam family "Bacterial small subunit ribosomal RNA", at positions 338 to 795 of the family's 1533-position model. Lineage: Bacteria; Pseudomonadati; Pseudomonadota; Gammaproteobacteria; Oceanospirillales; Halomonadaceae. The record is from RNAcentral.